RNAcentral lists this non-coding RNA (23 nucleotides) under Mus musculus (house mouse). The record is from RNAcentral. Lineage: Eukaryota; Metazoa; Chordata; Mammalia; Rodentia; Muridae.
GAGAAUGUUCCAGAAGUGCCUCC